RNAcentral lists this ribosomal RNA (425 nucleotides) under uncultured bacterium. RNAcentral's name for it is "bacterial SSU rRNA". It matches the Rfam family "Bacterial small subunit ribosomal RNA", at positions 354 to 796 of the family's 1533-position model. The record is from RNAcentral.
GUGGGGAAUAUUGGACAAUGGGGGAAACCCUGAUCCAGCAAUGCCGCGUGAGUGAAGAAGGCCUUAGGGUUGUAAAACUCUUUCACUGAUGAAGAUGAUGACGGUAAUCAGAGAAGAAGCCCCGGCUAACUCCGUGCCAGCAGCCGCGGUAAUACGGAGGGGGCUAGCGUUGUUCGGAUUUACUGGGCGUAAAGCGCACGUAGGCGGCAUAUCAAGUCAGAGGUGAAAGGCCUGGGCUCAACCUAGGAACGGCCUUUGAUACUGGUAUGCUUGAGUUCGGAAGAGGGUAGUGGAAUUCCAAGUGUAGAGGUGAAAUUCGUAGAUAUUUGGAAGAACACCGGUGGCGAAGGCGGCUACCUGGUCCGAUACUGACGCUGAGGUGCGAAAGCGUGGGGAGCGAACAGGAUUAGAAACCCGAGUAGUCC